RNAcentral lists this ribosomal RNA (677 nucleotides) under Planococcus sp. ht2-2. RNAcentral's name for it is "bacterial SSU rRNA". It matches the Rfam family "Bacterial small subunit ribosomal RNA", at positions 87 to 753 of the family's 1533-position model. The record is from RNAcentral. Lineage: Bacteria; Bacillati; Bacillota; Bacilli; Caryophanales; Caryophanaceae.
UGAUCUUAGCGGCGGACGGGUGAGGACACGUGGGCAACCUGCCCUGCAGAUCGGGAUAACUCCGGGAAACCGGGAAAAUACCGAAUAGUUUGCGGCCUCUCAUGAGGCUGCACGGAAAGACGGUUUCGGCUGUCACUGCUCGAUGGGCCCGCGGCGCAUUAGCUAGUUGGUGAGGUAACGGCUCACCAAGGCCACGAUGCGUAGCCGACCUGAGAGGGUGAUCGGCCACACUGGGACUGAGACACGGCCCAGACUCCUACGGGAGGCAGCAGUAGGGAAUCUUCCGCAAUGGACGAAAGUCUGACGGAGCAACGCCGCGUGAGUGAAGAAGGUUUUCGGAUCGUAAAACUCUGUUGUGAGGGAAGAACAAGUACCAAGUAACUACUGGUACCUUGACGGUACCUCACCAGAAAGCCACGGCUAACUACGUGCCAGCAGCCGCGGUAAUACGUAGGUGGCAAGCGUUGUCCGGAAUUAUUGGGCGUAAAGCGCGCGCAGGCGGUCCUUUAAGUCUGAUGUGAAAGCCCACGGCUCAACCGUGGAGGGUCAUUGGAAACUGGGGGACUUGAGUGCAGAAGAGGAAAGUGGAAUUCCACGUGUAGCGGUGAAAUGCGUAGAGAUGUGGAGGAACACCAGUGGCGAAGGCGACUUUCUGGUCUGUAACUGACGCUGAGGCG